GAGCCACCUUAAAAAUAUCAUUUGCAUUGCGAAAUGUCGCUAAAAAUUGUCCCUUAGGACAACGCAUUAAGUGUUUUUCCACGUUUGACGCAUCCUCGUUCCCAGGGCCUAAUUUUCAACGAGUGACAGAGUGAAAAUGGCUCUGGAGACGAGAAUGCGUUUGACGACAUUGUAAAGGCACGUUUCAACACUUGCAAGUUUUGCUGCGAUUUCUAGUGCGAUUUUCGUCUUCUGACGGAUGUGAAUAAGUGGAUGAGUCGUGAAUGUUCAUAUAAGGAGUUCAUGCAUUCAGAACAUUCGUAAGUUAUUUACUUGUUCACGUGCAUCAGAAGAAGAAAAUCGCAUUAAAACUCGCAGCAAAAGUUGCAAGUGUAAACGGGCUUUAAGAAAGGUCUAUUGACAACUCCAGAUCUGUUCUGUAGGCCACACAACUAUUCCGUAUAUUUUCUCCAUUUUAUUAACCCGCAAAAGAAGUUUACAUUCUACAUGACAUUGACAAAUAUGAGACUUGUUAUAAAACUUAUAAUGUAAACUCUGGAAACGUUCAGCUAACUAGUAUAUGGCUGUCAGUAUUCUAUAUGCGGUAACUCAAGAGAUAUUAGUGCUGUCAUAAAACGCGGUAACCAACAAUUUGAAUUGACGCGACGAUGCCUCUGAUCCCUUGGGCAUCAAUUUCAAGUGUAGCACUAAUUUCUUUUCCCUUGCUUCCAGUGGCAGGUGCGCCAGUUUCCACAGGGAGG
Non-coding RNA from Paramuricea clavata, 740 nucleotides. The record is from the annotation of a GenBank genome assembly. NCBI's taxonomy places the organism in Eukaryota, Metazoa, Cnidaria, Anthozoa, Malacalcyonacea, Plexauridae.